GCAGAGUAGGUGCGCACGUGUGGUUCUCCCUCCAGAGGGAGACAGUGCCGGCGGGACGGGGAGUUGUCCGCCGGACGAAUAGCACGAGGGGAAACCCCAGGCUUGCAGUGUGCCCACCGCAUCCCGCUGC
RNAcentral lists this non-coding RNA (130 nucleotides) under Candidatus Enterenecus avicola. RNAcentral's name for it is "THF riboswitch". It matches the Rfam family "THF (Tetrahydrofolate) riboswitch aptamer". Rfam says of the family: THF riboswitch presents a pseudoknot that joins P1-P2 and the loop of P3 and two THF binding. The record is from RNAcentral. Lineage: Bacteria; Bacillati; Bacillota; Clostridia; Eubacteriales.